GACGAACGCUGGCGGCGUGCUUAACACAUGCAAGUCGAACGAAGUGGCGAACGGGUGAGUAACGCGUAAUCAACCUGCCCUUCAGAGGGGGACAACAGUAGGAAACGACUGCUAAUACCGCAUACUGAAGGUGGGGAUUGCGUCUGAUUAGCUAGUUGGAGGGGUAACGGCCCACCAAGGCGAUGAUCAGUAGCGGGUCUGAGAGGAUGAUCAGCCACACUGGUACUGAGACACGGCCCAGACGCCUACGGGAGGCAGCAGUGGGGAAUUUUGGACAAGGGGCGAAAGCCUGAUGCAGCCAUGCCGCGUGUCUGAAGAAGGCCAUCGGGUUGUAAAGGACUUUUGUCAGGGAAGCGGGACCUGAAGAAUAAGCACCGGCUAACUACGUGCCAGCAGCCGCGGUAAUUC
RNAcentral lists this ribosomal RNA (408 nucleotides) under uncultured bacterium. RNAcentral describes it as "partial 16S ribosomal RNA". It matches the Rfam family "Bacterial small subunit ribosomal RNA", at positions 28 to 526 of the family's 1533-position model. The record is from RNAcentral.